GGUUUAGCUCAGUCGGUAGAGCACUGGUCUCCAAAACCAGGUGUCGGGAGUUCGAGUCUCUCAACC
Molecule: transfer RNA, 66 nt
Filed under: human gut metagenome
Also listed under: 1 other name
Rfam family: tRNA
About the family: Transfer RNA (tRNA) molecules are approximately 80 nucleotides in length. Their secondary structure includes four short double-helical elements and three loops (D, anti-codon, and T loops).
Source: RNAcentral